This 1377-nucleotide ribosomal RNA is filed under the name uncultured bacterium. RNAcentral's name for it is "16S ribosomal RNA". It matches the Rfam family "Bacterial small subunit ribosomal RNA". The record is from RNAcentral.
UUAGAGUUUGAUCCUGGCUCAGGACGACCUUUGGCGGCGUGCUUAACACAUGCAAGUCGAGCGAGGACAAGCGGCUUCGGUUGCUUGUUCGAGCGGCGGACGGGUGAGUAACGCGUGAACAAUCUGUCCCAGACAGGGGGAUACCAGAUGGAAACAUCUGCUAAUACCGCAUAAGACCACGAGACGGCAUCAUUUUGGGGUAAAAGGAGCAAUCCGGUUUGGGGUGAGUUCGCGUCCGAUUAGAUAGUUGGUGAGGUAACGGCCCACCAAGUCGACGAUCGGUAGCCGACCUGAGAGGGUGAUCGGCCACAUUGGAACUGAGACACUGUCCAGACUCCUACGGGAGGCUGCAGCCGAGAAUCUUCCGCAAUGGGCGAAAGCCUGACGGAGCGAUGCCGCGUGAGGGAAGGAGGCCUUCGGGUCGUAAACCUCUGUCACCCGGGACGAAUCAAGUGACGGUACCGGGAGAGGAAGCCACCGCUAACUACGUGCCACCACCCGCGGUAAUCCGUAGGGGGCAAGCGUUAUCCCGAUUUACCGGGGGGAAAAGGGCGCGUAGGGCGGGAAAACAAGUCAGGUGUAAAAUCUAUGGGCUUAACCCAUAAACUGCAUUUGAAACUGUAUCUCUUGAGUGCUGGAGAGGUAGAUGGAAUUCCUUGUGUAGCGGUGAAAUGCGUAGAUAUAAGGAAGAACACCAGUGGCGAAGGCGAUCUACUGGACAGUAACUGACGCUGAGGCGCGAAAGCGUGGGGAGCAAACAGGAUUAGAUACCCUGGUAGUCCACGCUGUAAACGAUGAAUACUAGGUGUAGGGGCGCAAGCCUCUGUGCCGGAGUAAACACAAUAAGCGUUCCACCUGGGGAGUACGGCCGCAAGGUUGAAACUCAAAGGAAUUGACGGGAGCCCGCACAAGCAGUGGAGUAUGUGGUUUAAUUCGACGCAACGCGAAGAACCUUACCAGGACUUGACAUCCCAGGAAUCCGAGAUAAUGAACGGAGUGCCCUUCGGGGAAUCUGGAGACAGGUGGUGCAUGGUUGUCAUCAGCUCGUGUCGUGAGAUGUUGGGUUAAGUCCCGCAACGAGCGCAACCCCUACGGUCAGUUACUACGAAAGAGGACUCUGGCCGGACUGCCGUUGACAAAACGGAGGAAGGCGGGGACGACGUCAAAUCAUCAUGCCCCUUACGUUCUGGGCUACACACGUACUACAAUGGCGUAAACAAAGAGAAGCGAAGUCGUGAGACGGAGCAAACCUCAUAAAAGACGUCCCAGUUCAGACUGCAGGCUGCAACCCGCCUGCACGAAGUUGGAAUUGCUAGUAAUCGCGGAUCAGAAUGCCGCGGUGAAUACGUUCCCGGGUCGUGCACUCACCGCCCGUCA